RNAcentral lists this small RNA (72 nucleotides) under Colobus angolensis palliatus. Its description in RNAcentral is "7SK RNA (ENSCANG00000006558.1)". The record is from RNAcentral. Lineage: Eukaryota; Metazoa; Chordata; Mammalia; Primates; Cercopithecidae.
CUGCAACAUCUGUCACCAUAUUGAUUGCCAAGGUUGACGUGGCUGCCAACCUGGCUGGCUAUGCAGGUGUAC